RNAcentral lists this long non-coding RNA (2076 nucleotides) under Homo sapiens (human). RNAcentral describes it as "HSALNT0164210". Lineage: Eukaryota; Metazoa; Chordata; Mammalia; Primates; Hominidae. The record is from RNAcentral.
AAUUUGUGUGUUACCUUUGUUUUAGAAACUACUAGCUAUUUCAAAACCAGGCGCCGUGGCUCACGCCUGUAAUCCCAGCACUUUGGGAGGGUGAGGCUGGAGGAUCACCUGAGGUCAGGAGUUCAAGACCAGCCUGGCCAACAUGGGAAAACCCUGUCUCUACUAAAAAUACAAAAAUUAGCCAGGUGUGGUGGUACCUGUAAUCCCAGCCUCAUGGGAAGCUGAGGCAGGAGAAUGGCUUGAACCUGGGAGGGAGAUUGCAGUAAGCCAAGAUCGCGCCACUGCACUCAAGCCUGGGUGACAGAGUGAGACUCUGUCUCAAAAUAAAUGAAUAAAUAAAAGAAACUACUAGCUAUUUCUAGGGCAAAAUCCAUAGUGGAGUAAUCCCUGAGGUAAUUCAGAUAGUUAAUGGGCAGAGCCAAGACUAUCACCCAGAUCUCAGCCCAGAGUGCCUAUAACGUCACCCUGACAGGUGGAGGCUGUGGAACAAAUGGAAGCCGUUCCAAAGCAGUCAUAUCUCAUGUGAUCCCAUCUACGCGAUGAGCCAAGGCAAAGGGCACUGGUGGUUCCCUGCCGUCCUCAUGGGCUCCUGCCCUGGGCCUGGUGGUAGGUUCACAUGUCAGCAACCACGAGCUAAUCUCACCUCACAGUUACUCUAAUUUCUCGUGUCUGUCAAGUUUCCCAAGGAGGAGUUGUUUUCCCAAAUCAGCCUGUUUCUUUUUAUAAUAUAAGCUGUUUAGAGGCCAGGCACAGUGGCUCACACCUGUAAUCCCAGCAUUUUGGGAGGCCAAGGCGGGCAGAUCACCUGAGGUCAGGAGUUCCAGGCCAGCCUAGCCAACAUAGUGAAACCCCAUCCCUAAUAAAAAUACAAAAAUUAGGUGGGGCCAGGUGCGGUGGCUCACGCCCAUAACCCCAGGACUUUGGGAGGCCGAGGUGGGCAGAUCACCUGAGGUCAGGAGACCAGCCUGGCCAACAUGGCAAAACCCUAUUUCUAGUAAAAGUACAAAAAUUAGCUGGUGUGGUGGUGCACGCCUGUAAUCCCAACUACUCGGGAGGCUGAGGUGGGAGAAUCUCUAGAACCCAGGAAACAGAGGUUGCAGUGAGCCAAGAUCAUGCCACUGCACUCCAGCCUGCGCAACAGAGUAAGACACUGUCUCAGAAAAAAAAAAAAAAAAAAUAGCUGGGUGCAGUGGCACACGCCUGUAAUCCCAACCACCCAGGAGGCUGAGGCAGGAGAAUCUCUAGAACCUGGGAGGUGGAGGUUGCAGUGAGCCAAGACCGCACCACUGCAUUCCAACCUGGGUGACAGUGAGACUCCGUCUCAAAAAAAAAACAAAAGAAAACCAAAAAAAACCUGUUUAGAGCAGGUAAUGAAACAACAUACAAUUUGUUACAGCAAUAGAGAGGAUGUUCCUUUCCAAAUGUCUGUCAUUCUUUCAGCAGACGCUAGCACUGUGUGUCUAGUGUCUGCUAGAUGCUAAGGAUAUGCUGUAAAACAAGACCCAGUCAUCAACCUCAAGAAGUUUAUAAAUAAAUAUUAAGAGGAACAGAAAGGUCAUUUUAAGUGUAAUAAUUGCUCUGAUGGGGAAAGCAUGAGGUGCUGGACAAUCCCAUAGCAGAGACAACUAAUCCAGCUGGGCCAGGCAUCAGAGAAGGCUUUAAUGAAGGAUGAGGUUUAGGCUGAGACCUGAAGAAAAAGUAAGUGGGGUGGGAAGGAAGAACUUUAUAGGUGGAGGGAAUACAAUUUGCAGAGGCCCAAGGGUGGGAAAGGGCAUCUUGCUUUUGUGGGGCUGCGGGUGGUUCGUUAUGAUUGAUUCAUAGGUGAUAAGGGCAAGAAUAAGGCAGAGGGUAGGACUCGUGGGCUUUGCUAAGGAAUCUGAACUUCAACCAGAGGACAGUGGGGAACCACUGAUGAGCUUGAGGCAGGAGCAUGACAAGAUCUGGUUAUACUUCAGAUAAUUUACUUGGAGGGAAUAGUGGAGAAUUGGUGGUGGCGAGAGCCAGAUUCCUUAGGAAGCCUUUGAGGUCGUCCAGGUAAGAGAUGACUAUAGGCCAAAUUAAAGGUGUGGAUAUGAC